CGGAUGUGUCCGCCUGCUGCCAUUAGCUUCCGGGCUGUAGCGAACUCGCUGUGGUCUCCUCACCGAUCUACAGUACGCGCAUGCGCCACGCACGCGCACUCCCAGGCAAGGCACAGUAACUAAGAGAAGCCUCACGGUACACUCUUGAGAGCAGCUCAGAGGGCAGUGCUGAUUUCUCUACUAAGUCUCAACCCACCAACCAACUAACCAACUAGUAACACCUCCAUUUCUAUGGCACACCCGUCAUAUUUACCAUGAUAACCAAGGAAUCGUGCCGGGGAGUGGGGAUACACGCCCCUGUCUACCUAAAGGUUGGAGAAGAACACAUUGUGGAUAAAUUGUCAAACCAGACUUUUUCUGAAAGAACAUUACAUGGAAGGUGAAACUAUCCUGCAUCACCGAUAGAGAAUACUAAUUUAUUAAUAUAAAUGAUAAGAUUGCUGUUAGAGAU
Long non-coding RNA from Mustela erminea (ermine), 451 nucleotides. RefSeq lists it as uncharacterized. The record is from RefSeq and is a predicted model, not a curated record. Lineage: Eukaryota; Metazoa; Chordata; Mammalia; Carnivora; Mustelidae. The transcript has 3 exons.